AUUGAGUCUAAAACGUUCGUAGCCGGUCCGGUAAAUCCCUGGGUAAAUCGGGAAGCUCAACUUCCCGAAUUCCGGGGAGACUGCCGGACUUGGGACCGGGAGAGGCUAGAGGUACUUCUGGGGUAGGGGUAAAAUCCUGUAAUCCUGGAAGGACCACCGGUGGCGAAGGCGUCUAGCUAGAACGGAUCCGACGGUGAGGGACGAAGCCCUGGGUCGCAAACGGGAUUAGAUACCCCGGUAGUCCAGGGUGUAAACGCUGCAGACUUGGUGUUGGGGGCCCUUCGGGGGCGUCCAGUGCCGGAGAGAAGUUGUUAAGUCUGCUACUUGGGGAGUACGUCCGCAAGGAUGAAACUUAAAGGAAUUGG
RNAcentral lists this ribosomal RNA (365 nucleotides) under uncultured methanogenic archaeon. RNAcentral's name for it is "bacterial SSU rRNA". It matches the Rfam family "Archaeal small subunit ribosomal RNA", at positions 503 to 868 of the family's 1478-position model. Lineage: Archaea; Methanobacteriati; Methanobacteriota. The record is from RNAcentral.